This 137-nucleotide non-coding RNA is filed under the name Leptospira interrogans serovar Manilae. Lineage: Bacteria; Pseudomonadati; Spirochaetota; Leptospiria; Leptospirales; Leptospiraceae. The record is from RNAcentral.
UUGUCGGUGAAAGUCCGAUCCGGGUAAACGCCAGAGAGCUCGGUAGCUAUUCUCGGAUGUUUUUGGGCAACCGGAGAUGUCUAAGGGAGAAUAUUAGGCCAUUUGAAUGGAGGUGCGAAACACUGAAUUUUACAUUA